This 23208-nucleotide long non-coding RNA is filed under the name Setaria viridis. RNAcentral describes it as "long non-coding RNA (SVIR_LNC011275)". The record is from RNAcentral. Lineage: Eukaryota; Viridiplantae; Streptophyta; Magnoliopsida; Poales; Poaceae.
AAAAGAAAAAGAAGUCCAAGGAGAGCGAGGAGCCUGCUGUGGCUGCCGCCGAAGGCGAGAAGAAGAAGAAAAAGAAGAAAUCUGAUGUGGAUGGUGAGGAUGUUGUACUGCAAACUGCAGAGUCUGGUAAGAAAGACAAGAAGAAAAAGAAGAAGAAGCACGCUGAUGAUGAGUGAGGCAUUCACCGGAGAAGGGAGAGCCAAGGUGCCCAAGGUUGGGACUUGCUGUUCUGUAAAAUGGAUAUUACAGGCUAGUAACCAUGUUGAGAUUUAGUUUUUUUUUUGGAACCCCGGUUUUCAAGUACUAGCUCGAUCUGGACGAUCGAUGAAAUUUAAAUUUUGGUGCCGCUGUCUCAAAUUACCAUGAUUGUUUAUGAAUCCAGAUUGGUAACUAAGGUAGCUGAGAGAUCCUUGAGUUUGUACGAUAGUUUGCGCACCUCAUCAGAUUGAGAUUGUACGAUAGUUUGCGCGCCCCAUCAGAUUUGCGUUGGUAGUUUGCUGGAGGGACGCGGGUUUCUAUUGCCUGACAACCGGCAUCCCUGGAACUCUGGAAGGCUGUAACAGUUUGAAGUAUUGUUCGCAGCAACAGCCUUGGUCAGUUGGUCUACAGCUGCUUGGCAACAGUUAUCAUGUUUAGCAUGUGUUGUGCUAGAAGCGCAACACUGGUAGCAAACCUCCUACAUGGUGUCCGAGAUAAUGUACCUAAACUCCAACUUGUGGUCGAUUCGAAUCAACAAAGAAUCAACCAAAGAAAAGUUGGAAACUACCAUGCAUACCACUUACACCAUUAUAAUCCCGGCCAUUGCUGAGGAGCAGAGCAUCAGUUGGUGAAUAAUUCCUCAAUGUACCCAGUUCAGCAGGGUGCCUUUUUCUGGUGAAGCACAGCGGCAGUUGGUCCGAAAAGGUUGCAUCAGCUGUUGCUGUCCAAGAGCUGGUGACACCAACAAACGAACAGGAAGAUAGAUGCUCGUGGUUCGCCUGUGACCUGCUCGGAAGUCUCUCGGGUAGGACUUCUCCAGUUCUCCUGUGGCCUAAUUCCAUAGAUGUGGCUUCCUGGGAAGUCUCUCCGGUAGGACUUCUCUAGUUCUGUUUACAUGACAGGGAACUGAUCAGGGGGUAGGCACUGUCAUGAAAUGGUCUCUUGACUCAAUUAGUUCUAGUUAUUAAUCUUCGGAGUGGAAGAAGGACGGAGACUCUCGAAUGAUAGACAAUUGCUCUAGUGAAUAACUCAAAAAAUAGAAGAACAUUAGAUGGUAAAGGAAAGAUCAAUAUAUGUUCAAGGAAAAGUUUAAAGUGUCCUCAAUGACUGCAACUUCUAUUAUUAGCCUAGUGGUUAGAGCACAUGAGUAGCAGUAAGUUUAGAUUCAACUCCCUAUGGAGCAAAUCAAAGGGUCUGAUUUUUUUUUUAAAAAAAGGCUCCAUCGCUGAGCAAACUACCUUCAUUUGAUGGCGCAAGUAGGGCUGCCUAGGUGGGUAGAACGGUGGUUCUUUGAUCACCAAGUCCCCACCUGGACCUAUGUCGUCGGCGACCUAGCCACUAAUAGUCUCAAUGCUACCUUCUAUUAUCAUCGGGUUGCCCGACUUGCUCAAGCAUUACUCACGUGGAACAAACACCUCCCCUUGGUGGCUGUAUUUCCUCGGUAGUCUAGUUUUUUCGAGUAUGCAUGUGCUUCUUUGAUUGGAAUAUCCUACAUUCUAAGUUCCCUCUUGUCCACACCACUGGCGCACCUUACUGCUGACAUCUUCGGUAGUUCUUUGGUCGCCAAGCCGACAUAGCCCUAUGUCAUCAUUGAUCCUAGCUACUAGUGGUCUCCCAACCUUCGUGGAUGAUGAUGCUACGUGCUAUCACCAUUAGGUUGGCCAACUCACUUAGAGGAUGUUUGGGUACGAGGUGCUAAACUUUAGGAGGGUCACAUUGGAUGUUCGGAUGCUAAUCAGGAGGACUAAACAUGAGUUAAUUAUAAAACUAACUGCAGAACCCCUAUACUAAUUCGCGAGACGAAUCUAUUAAGCCUAAUUAAUCCAUCAUUAGCACAUGGUUACUGUAGCAGCACAUUGUCAAAUCAUGGACUAAUUAGACUUAAUAGAUUCGUCUCGCGAAUUAGACUCCAUCUAUGCAAUUAGUUUUGUAAUUAGACUAUAUUUAAUACUCCUAAUUAGUAUCAAACAUCCGAUGUGACAGGUACUAAAGUUUAGGGGUGUAUCACACCCUUAAGCAUUUCUCUUGCGCCACUGUUUUUAUUAUCCAACUCUAAAAGAGGUUCGAAGAUGGCAAUAAUGAAGAUAGAAUGUAGAAAUAAUAAAAUUUUGAUUAUUUUGUUUCAUAAGAAAGUGAAAAAUUAUAUACUCAAAACAAAUGAUCAAGAGCUUAGCUACGAUCGUUUUCAUGUCCUUUCCCUAUGCCUUUUAUUAAUGGGGUUUUCUCUUAUUUCUUCUUUACCUUUUACCUUUUAGUACUUGAAUUCUGAGUGACUGGUUCCUGUACCAGGGGUACCCUCAGCAAUGGGCUUAGGACGAUCAGGCACCAAAAGGCUAAAUGCCCAACAGUUGGAAGCAUCCUGGAAACGGCUCAGACGAUGUUGCGGCCCACCACCCGACCUCCCUUGGUCGGAAGCCAAGAGCCAUCACUCGCCGGCUUAGCCAGCUCGGGGGCGGGGCCCGCAAGGGGCCCAUAGCGCCUCACCUACUCCUUGACUCAGGAAGAACUACACCGUACGAGAGGCAUUAAAUGCGGGCGUGACCCUCCGGACCACCCCACGCAGGAGACAUGACCGAACGAAGGGAGCCGGCCUUUAACCAGGAGGUCCGAGGGUAAGGCUACACCCUUCGGACCACCCAGGACGGCCUGCAGGACGAGGCCAUGUGCGGCCGUACGCGCCCACAUGCCCCGUCAUCAUCUUCGCUGUCAAGGAGACCCGUCAAGAUCAAGGUCAUGCCACCGCGCCAGACCCAGUAUGAUCCCGCAGGCGAGGUGGGACCCAGCGACAGACAUCACGGUGAGGAGCGGCCGUAAGCGCACUAAAGAGGUCGGGAAAAGCCAGGACGAGCGGCACACCCCGUCCAGCCACUAAUCAAGGUUCGCCCAUUCAUCAGCAGUACAGACGACAGCAACAGUUCCUGUCUCGUUCACCGCAUGGAGUUGGUGGACGGGACGGGAGCACGCCACAGAGCAGGCUGGGCCGUGCAUAAGUAGCCCAUGCUGCAUAGGAGCCAUUGUACAAGACAUGCUAGACCCUCGACCAGCCAAGGGGAUAGGACAGGGAAGCCUCUUGGUGCAAGGAAAACCUGACCACGCAGCAACCCUCGACCUCUGAGGUCAGGACCCCCUCCAUUUCUCAACGUUGUUACCCGAUCCCUAGCCUAUAUAAAGGGAACCGGGCCUCCAUUCACUAUCUCUCGAAUUCAACACAUACACCCACACAUCGCACAAACGCUUGCUUGCAAGCACCCUGUUGUAAGUCCAGUGCACUUGAUCUAAGGAACAUGACUCCUGCCGAAACUAGACAUAUGGAUCUUCCCGAACCAGUAUAACUCCUUAUCUCUUGUGUGCUAGUCAUCGGAAGUGAGGAGAGCGCGGCGUAUAAUCAGUAGUCGACGGAACGAAACACCGACAGUUGGCGCGCCCAGUAGGGGUAGUCGCACAUCCCUUGCUAGCUUUUGAUGGCCUCCUUCAGUCGUAGCGCUGGGGUGGCACCGCCCCGGGUGACACCAUUCGUUUCGGGAGCCUCGAGUUUGCUGUCAAUACUGUGUCGAGUUGCAGCUCGUCUCCAGUUUUCUUCCGACCCAGGCAUUCCAUUUUAGAAGCCUAUACUUCGUCGUCGACCAGCUAUGUCACCUACACCUCCUCGAGGAGGGGUUCCCUAUCCAGCCUGAGCUGGAGGGGGUGCCACCAAGUGGCGCCUCCACCGCAUUGCCCAUCAAUGGUGACACCUUAGCGCGUCAGAUCGAUGUACACCUCGGGGCGGACCUCGAGCCCAAGGCCUGCCAGUGCACCUUCUAUGCACUACCCAACAUCUUCACCUAACUCUCGGGGGAGGCCCCCCGGAGAGUGAGUUCUGGGACCCUACGGUUCAGCUACUGUAUGGUCUCCGGGACACAGCCUAGCUCUUCCAGAUGGACCUUGAGCACAGGCUCUGCCCUAACCCCACAAACCACACGAUCAUGGGUGCGGCGGAGUACGCGCCGACGUCCUUCCACGACCUCAUGGAGAUCCACUCCAGGAGCAGCUCCUCAUCGGAGGUGGACCUCAUCCACCAUGAUAACAUGUUGAGGAAGUGCUUCAUGGUGGAGCUCGCUGAGCAUACCCCUUCUGACAGGCAGCAUGCGCAGCCGAUCCAGCGCACGCCGGAGGAGAGCGAGGUGUACCUUUGCAAAAAAGUGGAACGCCUUGCCGCCGAAGCAGCGGAGCUCGACAGCAAGCACACCUAGCUGGAGCACGAGCGCGUCAAGCUCGGCAAGCAGCAUGGAGAACAGGAGGCCGGAGCGGCCUGCGACCGUUCCCGUCAUGUGCAUGAGCAAAUUAUGCAUGACGAAGACGGAGUCCACCGCUUCGUUCAUGCCAGCCAAAACAUAGCCGCCACGGCAAUGAUUCUGCGCUCAAUCCCUGAGCUGCAGGACCCCGAGAGCUUGCACAUCCAUUGCGAGCUUAAGGGUUUGCUCGAGACCACGGCGGUCCAGCAAGCGGAGAGCUCCCUCCAAUGGAGACAAUAAGCUAGAAGCAGCCACCGAGCAUGUAGCGUGGGCGGCCUGUAGGGUUCCCAUGUGCCCAUCGCACCCGUAGGUGCCCAGUAGGAAGCUGGCCAACCCGCAGCAGGGGCGUUAGCACCACGACGCCCUGCGGCCUCGACGCACGCCGCACGAUCCAGGCACGGCGCCGCGAAUGCGUGGAGUCCGACAGAUAGUGUCAUCACAACAGCGACGACCACCGCGACCGAUACUACGAGCGCUCCUGCUAUCCGACCCUGGAUGACCCGAGCCCGAAGGCGUUUGGGAGGAGGAUACACUCCAUGCCCUUCCUUGAGCGCUUCCAUGCCCCGACCAACAUCAGCAAGUACGCUGGGGACACAAACCCCAGCGUCUGGCUGGAGGAUUACUGGCUCGCCUGCUAAGCCGAUGGCGCCAACGAUGAUGACUUCAUCAUCAAGUACCUGUUGAUCUGCCUCACAAUUCGGCUCGGGCUUGGCUCAAAUAUCUCUAGCCGGACUGCAUCCACAGCUGGUCCGACCUCCGCCGGAUUUUCAUCGGCAACUUCAAGGGUACGUACAACAGACCCGGCAACUCUUGGGACCUCAAGAGCUGCAAGCAGAAGCAGGGGGAAAAGCUCUGCGAAUACAUCUACUAUUUCUCCCGGUAAUGCAACGAGCUACCCGACGUGGUUUAGGCCGACAUGAUCGGGGCAUUUAUCUUGGGGACCACCAGCGAGACCCUCGUCCACAAGCUCGGGUGCGCCAAGCCCCGCUCCAGCAAGGAGCUGCUGGACAUCGCCACCAACCACGCCUUUGAAGAGGAGGUGGUGGUCGGAUCUUAUAUAAGGGGAAGGGUGCCAUCAGGCAUGAUGGCGAGGGAGGAGGUGGCCCCUCCUGCCAUGACGACAAGAAAAAGAAGAACAAGGAGCGCCACGAGGGUAAGCUCGUGACAACCACCGACCACCCCGGCAAGUAGCAGAAGGGGGGAAGCCUACCCCCGACCAUUUUGAGAAUAUGCUUGAGGGAUCGUGCCCGAACCAUGGCUACCUUGUGAAGCACCUCUACAAGGACUGCGACCUCAUGAAGCGCUACCUGAGGGGCGACCUCAAGGUCGGCGCUAAGGGGAAGCAUCCACCUGAUGUCGACGUCAACGCCGGGGAGGAGGAAACCUCAUGAUCUUCAGUGGCUUGGACUUCUUCGGGAGUUGCAAGAGGAAGAACACGGCUAGGCAAGUAUUAAGUGCUGAUCCCGUCGUCCCGACCUUCCUUAAGUGGUCGGAUAUAGCGAUUAUCUUUGACAGGAUGGAUUACCCCGACCACAUAGGGGUGCUUGGGAGGCUUCCUCUCUUGGUGGCCCCGAUCAUCACCAAUUCUUGCCUGUCCAAGGUCCUCAUGGACGGGGGCUCCAUCCUCAACAUCAUGUACAUAGCCAUCCUGGACGAGAUGAAGAUCCCGAGGUCGGAGCUCCAACCAACUGGGGCACCCUUCCACAGGGUCAUCGUGGGGAAGCAGGCGGUUCCGCUAGGGCGGAUUGACAUGCCCGUCACAUUUAGCACCCGCGCCAACUUAUGCACUGAGAUCCUCACCUUUGAAGUGGUCGACUUCGAAGGGUCCUACCACGCGAUCUUCGGAAGGCCAUGCUACGUCAAGUUUAUGGUGACCCCGAACUACACCUACCUCAAGCUCAAAAUUCCCAAGCCCCACGGCGUGAUCACGAUCAGCGCCAACCACGAGUUCACACUCCUUUGCGAUGUGAAGAAUUGUAAGCUAGCGACGCAUACCAUCCGCUCCCUCGAGUUCUUCGAGAUCCAGCAAAUCACGCAAGAGGUCGCCUCGGACUCCAACAAGGCUUCGACCUUGGGAGCCUUCAAGCCUACGGAGGACGCCAAGGUGAUCCAGUUUGACCCAGAGGACUCCAACAAGGUGGUGUGGAUCGGCACCGCGCUGUCUACCAAAUAGGAAGACAAGCUUGUCGACUUCCUUCACGAAAAUUGGGACAUCUUCGCAUGGAAGCCCUCUGACAUGCCGGGUAUCCUGAGGAAAGUCGUUGAGCACACCCUUGACAUUAGGCCAGACGCCUGACCCGUGAAGCAGCGCCUGCGCCGCUUCGACAACGAGAAGCGGAAGGCUAUUGGCGAAGAGAUCGCUUGGCUCUUAACAGCUGGGUUUAUCAAAGAGGUCUUCCACCUUGAGUAGCUGGCCAACCCCAUGCUAGUGAAGAAGAAUGGCUCAUGGUGCAUGUAUGUGGACUACACAAGCCUAAACAAGGUGUGCCCCAAGGUACCAUACUUAUUGCCUCGCAUCAACCAGGUGGUCGACUCGACUACUGGGUGUGAGGUCCUUUGCUUCCUCGACGCAUACUCAAGCUACCACCAGAUCGCGAUGAAGGAAUCACACCAGCUGACGACCUCUUUCAUCACUCCGUUUGGCGUGUACUUUUAUGUCACGAUGCUGUCGGGCUCAAGAACACGGGCUCCACGUACCAUAGGUGCAUAAACCACUGCCUCGACCACCUGGUCAGGGAUAUAGUGGAGGUCUACAUUGAUGACAUCAUCGUCAAAUCCCGCAAGACUGAGCAGCUCAUCACCAACCUAAGAGACACAUUUGAGUGCCUCCGCCACUACAACAUCAAACUCAACCUGGAGAAAUGUGCCUUCGAGGUGCCCAAGGGCAAGCUCUUGGGCUUCAUCGUUUCCGAGCGUGGCAUCGAGGCUAACCCGGAGAAGAUCGCCACCAUCAGAAACUUGGGGCCGAUCACCAAUCUCAAGGGCACUCAGAAGCUAAUAGGAUGCCUGGCCUCCUUGAGUCGCUUCAUGCAGCGGCUCGGAGAGCGUGGCAUGCCUCUAUACAAGCUCUUGAAGAAAUUCGUCCAGUUCCACUGGAACAAAGAGGCGCAAGAGGCCUUCACCAAGCUCCAAGCCUCUUUUGCCUCACCUCCGACCUUGGUCUCGCCGACCCUAGAAGAGCCCCUGCUGCUCUACAUUGCCGCGACCACACAAGUGGUCAGCGCGACGCUCAUCGUGGAGCGCGAGGAGCCUGAGCACGCCCUCAAUGUGCAGAGGUCGGUAUACUUCAUCCGCGAAGUACUAUCCUACAUGAAGGUACACUACCCUCAAAUCCAAAAGAUGAUUUCCUCCACCUUGAUUUCGAAGCAGAAACUCCUCCACUACUUUGAGAGACACCCGAUCAUGGUGGUAGCGUCGGCACCACUCGGGGGAAUCAUCCAGAUUCGUGACGCCUCUGGUCGCAUAGCCAAAUGGGCAAUAGAGCUCAUGAGCUACCAGAUCAUCUAUGUGCCAAGGAAUGCGAUCAAGUCGCAGGUCCUUGCCAACUUCAUCGCAGAAUGGACAAAGACCUAGACCCUACCAUCCCCGACCAGUCAUGAGUACUGGGCGAUGUACUUUGAUGGGUCGAUCAUGGUGGGAAGCGUAGGGGCUCGUGCUGUGCUCACCUCCCCAAAGGGCGAUCGCCUCGAGUAUGCGAUCUGCCUCCACUUCCCUGCCACUAACAACAUGGUGGAAUACGAGGCCCUCAUCCGAUCCAUGGCCUCAAGAUCGCCUCCGAGCUAGACACUCGCUGCAUCUACAUCAGGGGUGACUCGGAGCUGGUCGUCGACCAGGUCAUGAAAGAAGCCUUGUGUCCCGAUUAGAAGAUGAUCACCUACUACAACGAGGUGUGAAAGCUUGAGGAGAAGUUCGACGACCUCAAGCUUCACCAUGUCCUCAGCCAUGAUAACCUCACCACCGAUUUCUUAGCGAAGCUCGUGUCGAACCGCGAGCAUGCCCUGCUAGGAGUCUUCGACAACGAUGCCCACGAGCUGUUGAUCAAGCUCGCCAAGGCACCCACCCCUGCGCUCGAUGCAAGCCACCCCGAGCCGGCAGCGGAGCUAGCCGCAGGGGCCAAGAUGGGCGCCCCCAACCUCAAGGUCGUGGCGCUUGAGCCAAGCUGGACCAUGCCCUUCCUCAACUACCUAUUGCGGGACACCCUCCCCACAGACGCCAAUAAGGCGCGCCGCCUCGUGAGACACAUGAAGGCCUCUAUGGUCGACUGGGAGGAGCUCUACAAGUGUAGCCCAUCAGGUAUCCUCCAAAAGUCCAUUCCCACUGACCAGGGGCGGGAGCUACUUCUGAAGAAACAUGUUGGCAUCUGCGGCUACCACGCGGCCCCGAGUUCCGAUAAGGCUUCUACUGGCCCAUGGUGGUGGCAGACGCCCAGCAGAUCAUUUGCUCCUGCGAAGGGUGCCAAUACUACAUGCGGCCGACGCACGUGCCGGCUCAAGAGCUGCAGACCAUCCUGAUCAUAUGGCCCUUUGCAGUGUGGGGCCUUGACCUGGUCGGGCCCUUCAAAAGAGUGCCUGGGGACUACACCCACCUCCUCAUAGCGGCAGACAAAUUCACCAAAUGGAUCAAGGCGAAGCCCAUCACCAAGGUCACAUCGGCAGCCACGGUUGAGUUCUUCCUCAACAUCAUCUACAGCGGGCCCGAACUCCAUCAUCACUGACAACGACACGCAGUUCAUGAGAAGGAAAUUCCUGCGCUUCUACGAUGAAUACCACAUCAGGGUCGACUUGGCCUUAGUGUCCUACCCACGCACCAACGGGCAGGUCAAGCGGACUAAUGGCAUGGUCUUGCAAGGCCUCAAGCCUCGCAUCUUCGAUGGGCUCAAGAAGUUCGCGGGGCGGUGGACACGUGAGGUACCCGCAGUGCUCUGGAGCCUAAGGAUGACCCCAAAUAGGUCCACGGGUUUCACACCCUUCUUUGUGGUAUACGGUGCGGAGGCUGCCCUCCCCACCAACCUCGACUACGGGGCGCCACGUGUCAAAGCGUACGAUGAGUCAAGGUCGGAGGAGGCCCGCCAGGAUGCGCUUGACCAGCUCGACGAGACGCGAGAUGUGGUGCUCCUCCAAUCUGCCAAGUACCAACAAGCCCUCCGACGCUACCACAGCAUGAACGUACGAGGCUGUGCCUUCUAGGUCAUAGAGCUGGUCCUCCGAAGGGUCCAGACAUCCCAUGGCAAGCACAAGCUCACGCCACCAUGGGCUCCUGGAACAUCAAGUAGCUACGUCGCUUUAACCCUUAGAUUUGUUAUUUAAGUUUGUACAAAUAGUUCGCACCAUGCAAUCAAAAGAAGCGUCAUGCUCGAUUAAGUUUGCGAUUUUCUUUUUAACUCUCCUUACCGAGCACUUCACGCCAUCCAAUGAGGGCAAUCGGUGCGACCUGCUCGUGGGGCCUACUUGCAUGCAUAUCCAUUCUUAGGCUCUACCUGUGAACACCUCCACGACCCCAACCCGCGUCACUCGACCGACCAUGGCAAAACAAAGUCUUCUGCGGCCUAGCUCCCGGAUUUCGUUGCGUAGGGAAAAGUGGCAAAGGCAAAGCAUGUACAAAAAAGGAACCAAAUUUUGAAGAAAAUUUGCGACCUAAACACACCAAGUUCAUUACAGGCCCGUGUGCCCGAUGCCAAAACAAAAAAGAAACCUAAUCUACCCCACAGGGGCUUCGGGAAGGGCUUCGCCUCGAAUCACAGCUGGCGAGAUCUGCCUGACUAGCUGUUGCAUGCCAAGGGCCACCAUCUUCGCGUGCUGUGUCAGCUCCUCGGAAGUACAGUUCCUCGCGUAGCCGCUCCCAAUGGCAGCAAAGUCCACGUCGUCGUAGUGCGUGGCCCAAGGUGAAGGUCGUGGGGCACCGUGGUAGAGCGCUUCUGCAAUUAGGUCAUCCACCCAACAACAGGCAGCCCCGAGCCGCUCCGCAAGUGGGCCCUCUAGGGCUACACCCAUGGAUAGGUAGGCCCACAGCACCUCCGACACGCCUCGGAGCACCUCAUGCUCCCCGGCCACCUCCUGCAAGCGGUUGCCGGUCAUUGCCCGCUGCUCGGUGACUGUGGCGAGCUCGACGUGUAGACCUACAUCAGCAACCACUCGAGUCAAGACCGGCAUAAAACCAACAAGCCCAUAAAGAUAACCACGACAGGAGAAGGUAAGAGUGUACCAUUGCAGGACUUCUGGAGGGUUUGGGCCUUGACGUCGAUGGCCUGGCGUGCCUGCUCGGCUGCAGUGCACACAUUCUCCGCCCCUUGCGUGGCACGCUCCAGUGCUGCCAUGCGCGUCUCCAUCUCCUUGGCUUGGCGAACGUGCUUGGUUGCUAGCUUCACUUCCUGGGAGGCGCGCUCCUGCACCUCCUUCCCCGCGGCCUUGGCUACCGAAGCCAUCUCAAUGGCAACAAGGAGGGCACGCUGCUUCGACUCCCGUGCCACCUCCGCCUCUGACUUGGCCACGUUGAUUUUUCCCAAAGCCGCUCCACCUCGGAGCGUACACCCAUCGACGCAUCCAGCUCCUCCUCCAGCCUCCGCCGAUCUUCGACCUCCUCCACCUGCGACUGAUACGCGACAGGUAGGAAUCGCGACUUCCUUGCAGAAGCAUCCAUUAGCUCCUAGACAAGGGGCACGCCACGACGGGAAACAAAACAUCAGAAGGCUGGAAGCACCCAGGGGAAAUCAAUCUCAAGCAAGGGGGAGGGGUUGGAUCUGAUUACUGGCCCGCGCGAAAGGACCUCGCCAUCAAUCGCCCCGAAGGCAUCGCUCACUGCCCCCAUGGUCGCGUAGAGCAAGUCUUGGGCCUUGGUGAGCUCGUUGCGCACCCGGCGCCCAUGCCCAAAUGUGCUCCCCCACGACACCAUUGCCUGGACGUCGUUGAGGGAGAACAACGCCUUGCUGGGUCGUCGGGAAUGCUCCCAGGUGAGCUUGGGGCCUCCGCCCACCACGGGCGCUGCCCCGACCAAUGCCUUCUGAAGUCGGGAGGAGUCAGGCGCGACCACCUCAGGCGGCACAGUCCACUCAGAUGUCACCUCCCUACUUCCAUCAUUGGCGGACACUUCUGAGGACGAGGAGGCCACUAGGAUCACCACCUCCGAGGCCACUGCCCCGGCUGCCCAAGCCUCUGCGGCCGCCGAGCUCUUGCCUUCCCCCUCUAAAGGAGUGGCGAAGGGCAGCGAGCCGAUCGGUGGCGGAGGAGGGUAGGCCACCAUGACGAGCGAGGCGACUGCUGGAGCGACUGAAGCUGUCGGCGUCGCCACACCAGUCCCCUCGCCGGUGGCCGGCGAUAGCCGGAAGAUCGGCCCCACAAAGCCCACCGACGUGGGCGACAAUGCGAGAUCAGGAAUGAACUCCCUGUAACACGAAGCCGUAGAUCAGCUGAGAAUUCAUACAAAAGCAUGAAGCGGGCAUGUGGCCUCAACUCAAAAAGGUUUGACCAAAAGUUAAUCCCUAUACCUAUCAGAUCGUCACAGAGGGAGGGGCGUCGUUCAAAGCUGCAAGGCCGGCAGCCCUAGCUGAGGGCAAGGUGGCAGCGACGGCAGGGCUGGGAUGUCCCGGGCUACGACAUCGCCUCAGGGGACACCCUCGGGGAUAUAACGCGCCGCCACCCAACCUACCGAAGGCUAGGAAGCCACGGUGGCAUCCUUAGACUCCUGCAGAGGUGGGGCCAUCGCCGAGCUCCUGCUAGCUCCAGGAGCCUCGUUCGAGCCCCCACCCGCUGAGGAUGCACUUUCCGUGAUCGGUUGGCGGUCACCACCCUCUGAGCCCGACCUGCCAUCGGGAGAAGGGAGGGACACCAACCUCCAUGCCGUGCUGGGCAGAGCGUCGGGCGGCGGUGGCAGCAUCUGCUCGGUGGCUCCCGAAUCGCGACCAUGGCCGGUGGGGAACCACAAUCUCCCGAAGUGAUGGCCAUCCGAGCGCUGGGAAGGCCGAUCGACUCCUUAGCUGGAGUGGGCUCAAGCAUGCUUCCUAUUCGUUUCAGCACCCAAGCUGUCGGCGGCCCGUUUCUAAGACGCACGGUCUUGUGCCCGGGCUGCGCUCCCCCUUCCUCCGCUCCAAUCCCGACCUCCCCAUCAUCAAAGGUCAGGGGCAUGGGGUUAGGAAGGCCAACCUGAAGACCAUGAGAAGGCUUUGGGUCAGAUGGGAAGUCGAGGACGGGUGCGUCCUCGCUCUCAUCCUCGUCCUCGUCCUCCUCCUCCUCAUCCUCAUUCGACAGCAACCUUGAGUUGUGGCACCUCAUGCUCUCGCGAAUUUUCUCCUCCCAAGCAUGAACGUCCCUGUCACGUUUGCGCCGCCGCUCUUGAGCAGCAUGGAGUUCGACGGCGGCCCGUUCGGCAUCCCCGGGGUUACCGUCCGGGUUGUGAAACCUGGACACUGGCCGCCCGAGCCCCUGCGCACCAACAACAGCUCGAGCCUCCAUGCGCUCGCAAGAAAAUAUGGGGAAUGGAAAGAGAAGAGUUCAGAAACUCACUAGGAAAAGAGGGAAAUCCCUCGAGAAGGCCCUCGGGUGCCCCAUUAGGGCCGAGGGCACCGGCUCUCGAAUGUCGAUUAGCUCCCGCGCCUAUGCUGAAAUCUCAUGGUUGGGGAGGCUUUUCGGGUGUUCCCGUGAGUUGUCCGUCACCCCGAAGUCAUCCGCUGCUCGAUGAAGGUCCAAACGACCCCCACACAAUUCACACUGGCUCAUGCCUGCCCCUCCAACACCUCGAUGAUUUGGUCGACCUUCUUCUUGUGCUUAUCCGGGCAGCCCUACCUCCACGACUCCCACCAUACAGGGCGCCCGCCGGUGAAUGUUGACAAAUUUCCGAUGCCCUCUUCAAAGUCGUUGUCGUCGUCACCGAUGUAGAACCAAUCGCCAUGCCAGCCCCAAUUGGAGUCAUACGCCUUGAUCUUUGAGUACUUGUCCUCGUACCCGAGGUGCAUCUAGAUGGAGGCGCCGCCAAGCGGCGCGAGCUCGUCAUCACCAGAGCUCAUCUUCCGCUACCGAACCUCAAACAUCCGAUGGAAGAGCGAAGCAUGGGGAGUGAUGCCGAGGAAUCCCUCGCACACCGUCAUGAAGCCAGCAAGCUUUAGCAACACAUUGGGGUUGAAAUGUUGUAGCUCAGUCCCGAGCUCGUGAAGGAAGCCCCGGAGGAAGGGGUACGCCGGUAGCCCGAAACCCCAGGGGUGGAACUCGAGGAAGGAGAUGGUCUCCCCAGGCUUGGGUGGCGAGAACUGCUCCCCGCGGCGAUGCGACACCCAUCCUCCUCCUUCAAUGGGAGGCAGCCCGCAGUGACCAAGUCUUGCAGUUUCACCUCCAUCACCACCGAAGGAACCCACGAACCCAUCGUUGGGGAAGAAGCAAAGGUGGCGGCGCUGGUUGACAGGAGGGAAUGCAUGCGAGCGGACUGCGGGACUCACCAGGUCACUCCCACAACUCCUCUCUCUCCUUUUUUCUCUCUCUCUUUUGCUCUCUUAGCUGCUCGAGCACGGCUACUAGGCACUGACCAGAGGAAGGACAGGUGAGAGGAAGAGUGGAGAGGAGAGGCGGUAGAUUUAAGAGCGUAUCCCUAGGGAGGCCAACCGCCCCCUUCGAGCAACUACACGAGGUGGUGGGCCCAGCCCCUACAGCGGUGCUGGAAACGUGCACAUCAAAAGCACGACGUGCGCGCGUGGCUUGCACCGUCAAGGCGUGACAGGAGGUGACGGGGCGAGUGCCAGGUAGCACCUCAGCUUCCGUGUGAUGACCCUUCAGCUGCUCCGCCCUGGUGGUUGGGCCAAGCCUAAGCAGCAGGCCAGGAUACGAAGGCCGGCCCAACGAACAGGCUCGCGGCCAUCAUCAGGCCCAACUCAACCUAGAGCUUGGGACGGAUGGACUGAGCGAGUCCUAGCGACUAUGAGUCGGGACGCCAUGUGGCCCACGACCUCCUCCUAAGGUUGAAAAUGGAUGGGUAAAAUCCCAUCCUAACCUGCCCUGUUUUCCACAUCUAACCCACCCAUUUUCAUUUUUCUGGAAAAAUCCGAGUUCGGGACGGGUCACGGGUUGACGGGCUGCGAGAUCGGGAUGGAAACAGGGGAGGCUCCAUCCCGGUCGGAUUCCUUGGGUCUCGUAUUUGAUCGGGAUGGACUCGGAUUUAACCCAAAUUUGACAAAGAUAUGCAGCCCUUCAGCUAACUAUAGCCUAACAGCUGAGGUCCGAUAUUAACCCUAACCUUAUCCUUCACCCACACGACCGCGCCGCCCUCAGUCGCCCUCACCCGCGCCGCACAGCUGCCUCACACUCUCGCUUAAAUCUCAUCGGCUCUUGCCUUCCAGCCUGCCCGGUGGCCGCCUCGCGCCCCCACCGGCAUCGACACGCCGUCGGCUACUCGGCUCCAGCACGUGCCGCCGUCUCCCACAUGCGCUACCACCUGAUAAGAUGUCACGCUCUGGAACUGGAGCUGGAGAAGGAGCACGCCGUUUCGGCUUCAUCUCCAUGCCCCUGGAGAAGCACCUGGGUUUGGGAAGCAUGUUGCCACUGCCACCCCGCAGCUGCAGCGACCACCGACCACCACCUUCUGUCAAAGGCAGCACCAGCGGCUUCAUUUAAGGUACAUCGUAGGCAGUAGCAGUCUAGCAGAGUAUAAUUAGCAAUUAGUAGUAGCAUAUUAGCAGACUAGCAGUAGCAAUUAGCAGCAGCAGACUACUUAGUACAAUGUAACUUGAAGUCUCAUUCAUUAUUCAGUAGCAUGAAUAAAGAUGGUGAGCUGUGAAGAAAUCUUGCAAUUUGUGUAACUUGAAGUCUCAUUCGUUAUUCAGUAGCAUGAAUAAAGAUGGUGAGCUAUGAAGAAAUCUUGCAAUUUGUCGAUGUCAUGGUGAAAUGGUGUUUGAAUGUUUGAUGACCUUCAGUUUUUAGAAUUUGUGUCAUUCUAUGAACUGUAUGUCUGUGUGACUGUGUUAUUGUGUCUGAAUUGUAUGCCUGUGGACUUGUUGAAUUGAGACAUCUGUGCUAUGUGGACUUAUUUAUGAAGUUGUGGUCUUAUGAACAUACGAUUGUUUUGCUGUUGGGUGUUGGCUCUUGGCUAUUGGCCUGUUGCUCACUUGUUGUUGGCCUGUUGCCUGAAUGCCUGUUGCUGUGCUGGUCUCGUGACUUGUGAGAUACAGUCACAGUCUCAUAGACACAGGCACACAGUGCAUGCACUGAUGCACAGCAGCACGCCAGCACACGCGCAGCAACACCAUGGCAACAAUAGUACUUUUGUGCCGUGCGUGUCUAACUAUGGUUAGUGUGGUCUGUGUGUCCCAACUAAAGUUCCCAGUUCCUGUCCGUUUCCGUCGAGUUUCUAGCCGUAUUGGUUCAUUUCCGUACACCCGUAUAACCUGCUCCCGUUUCCGCUCCCGGCUAUCCCGCUCCCGCUCCCGAUGAUGAAGUGCGGGAGCGAAAAUGAGAGAAGGGUUUUCCUACCCAUUUCUGUCUAUUUUCAUCGCUAUCUCCUCCCACCAUAUCUGAGUCUUGAUGAAAAGUUCGCUCUGGGUAUUCCCCAUGAGGGAAGGCAAUGAGCCCUCUGACCUCGCACACAGGAGGUCGGGGACCAAACGGGCGGACCACCAGGAUUAAUGGCAUGUCUCCCAGUGAGACAAAGCCAAACUUUCCUCAAUCAGAAAGGCGAUUGGGUCCCACUCAGAUUGCCCAGCGACACUCGAACGAGUGCACUUGCUCGAUCAGCCUGGUAGGCAAGGAUCCGCUCCCCGCGAAGGGGCUGCAUGGGGCACGAGCCCGACCACAUGAGCGCACUCCCCUGGGAGCAGCGCACCCAGGGGCUCGAAGCGAUCAGCCCCCAAGACCAAGCAAGCCGUUCACAACAUGCAGCGGGGAUAAAAUUUAUUAUUCCAUGGAACAAACAUUACAAGAAGGGCAUCAGAUACAAAAAAACGCUAGUGUUGCCGAGCAAAGAAACACCUGGGGCCCAUGAGGAGUGUUGCUAUGAGGGCGGCAUGAAGUGGCAGAUGCUCACAUCGCUGAGUUUCUUGUAGCAUCAGCACCUUGAGGGCCGCCUGUGCGGAGGUGGUAUCGAGGACGAGAGCACUUUCAGCUCUAGCAAGCAAUGCCACCAUCUCCCUGGCAAGAGAGCAAACUACGGACGCACUCAAAGCCUCCUAUCGGAGACAAAAGGGGGUCGUAGUUGUACCCAACAGGCUCAAGAGCAGCGUCAUGGUGGCCUUUGUUGAGCUCGCGGGUUCGCCGAGGAUUCGAACGGGAGCAUCGGAGCUCCCAAGUGAUCCCAGAGAAACCCAGUGGUUGUUUUUGCCUAUUAUCGGUUCCUCCCGCCGGAUCCGCGAGGAUCUUGGAGUAGGAUCAGUAACACGAAUGGAGGUGCCUUAGACCCCUUGUGGUACGCCCAGCCGCUCGCUGAGAUUCUUCUAGCAUCAAGGGCAGGCUGCACGGCAGCCAACCCGGAAGACUUGGAGACACCCUCUCGGAGGCCUCAUCCCUCUACCCGCACAUGGAAGCAUUUUGGGAAGUGAAGCCUGGAGCCCCAAGCAGCACAUGACGUAGGCUUUAUAGCCCGAGCGCAGAGCUAAGCCGCGCGACACCGCGAGGUUCAAAGAGGGGUGCCCGCCAGGCAAGGACGUCGCGAGCCCCGAUGCACUGGCAAACCCACGUGAACUACAGGAUGAAAUGAUGCCCUGAGCAGGACCUCGGGAUUCUGCAUUGCGCAAGGCAUCGGGUGGACCGGUCUCGGUUGCGCAUCGGCGUGCAACCACGAAGAAACCAGAAGGUCAGAAAGGGUCUCAUAACAACGUCUAAACGGUGGCAAGGGAUGGGCAACGCUCGCAUUAAAAGCGUUCUGAGCGAAUCUUCGAUUCCCUCAGAAGCUCGAGGGCUAGACCUAGUGGGUUCGCUCGCGAGAACCCACAGGACGCCUUAGCCAUCGAACGGCAUGCAAAAAGGGCGAAGGAGCCUUCCCCCGACCGCAAGGUCGGAAGAAGCCUCGAGGGCUACUGACGGGUUCGUGUAUCAAGCGUAGGAAAUGGGCUUAGGGCGAUAUGGCACCAAAAGGUCAAAUUCCCAACAGUUGGAAGCAUCCUGAAAACGGCCCAGACGACAUUGCGGCCCACCACCCGAUCUCCUUUGGUCGGAAGCCAAGAGCCAUGACUCGCCGGCACAACCAGCUCGGGGGCAGGGCCUGCAAGGGACCCACAGCUCCUCACCAGCUCCUUGACUCAUGAAUACCUGCGCCGUAUGAGAGGCAUUAAAUGACGGAGACAUGACCGGGCGAAGGGAGCCGACCUUUAACUAGGAGGUCCAAGGGUGAGGCUACACCCUUCGGACCACCCAAGACGGCUUGCAGGAUGAGGCCACGCGCGGCCGUACUCAUCCACAUGCCCCGACAUCAUCAUCCUCGCUGUCAAGGAGACCCGUCAAGAUCAAGGCCAUGCCAUCGCGCCAAACCCAGUAUGGUCCCGCAGGCGAGGUGGGACCCAGCGAUAGACAUCACGGUGAGGAGCAGCCGUGAGCGCACUAAAGAGGUCGGGGAAAGCUGGGACGAGUGGCACACCCCGCCCAGGCCACUAAUCAAGGCUCGCCCAUUCAUUAGCAGUACGGACGACAGCAACAGCACCCGUCCCGUUCACCGCCACGGAGUUGGCGGACGGGUCGGGAGCACGCCAUGGAGCAGGCCGAGCCUUGCAUGAGUAGCCCAUGCUGCAUAGGUGUACCUGUACAAGACAUGCGAGACCCAAGACUAGCCAGACAGGGAAGCCUCUUAGUGCAAGGAAGACCCGACCACGCCGCAACCCCCGACCUCUGAAGUCGGGACCCCCUCCAUUUCUCAACGUUGUUGCCCGGUCCCUAGCCUAUAUAAAGAGAACCGGGCCUCCAUUCACACUCUCUCGAAUUCAACACAUACACCCACACAUCGCACGAACGCUUGCUUGCAAGCACCCCAUUGUAAGUCGAGUGCACUUGAUCCAAGGAACACGACUCUUGCCGAAACUGGACGUAUGGAUCUUCCCGAACCACUAUAACUCCUUGUCUCUUGUGUGCUAGGCAUCGGAAGUGAGGAGAGCACGGCGUACAAUCACUAGUCGGUGGAAUGAAACACCGACACUGAGCUACCCAGCAUUGCUAAUAUUAUUAUUUGGAAAUGCAGAAGAAGGUUAAACAUCUGUCCCUUGCAUUGAUUGUUUGUCGUAGACUUCCAUUCUAGAUAACAUCUACUGUAUUAAACUACACUAGAAAACUUAUUUCAUAAUAGAUCCAAAAGGCGUAACUUACAAAUUACAAAUAUUAAUGGUCAACCUUACACUAAUCGGGACUUACAACUACUUGUCACUGUUAAUUUUAUCAUAAUAUAACUACUAAUUAAUAAUAAAAUAUGUUACUAAUGAUUAAUCAUAUAGUAGAAUCAACCUUAUCAAUUAUAUAAUCAACACAAUAGCACUUCUCAACCUUAAUCUCACAACCAUUUUGUAGAUGCUAAUAUUCGUCAUGUGGGCAUAUGUUGGUUCAGGACUUCAGGUUGAGAUUCCAAUUGACACUGCCAAAGCAACAAGGGAUUUUGACUUCUGAUUUGAAAAUUGAAUUGUAUGAACCCACACAGUUGUUUCUAAUUUUUAAAUCUGACUUGUUACAAUUGCAAUGCAAAAAGUUACUAAUGAUUAUUCAUAUAGUACAAAUCAACCUUAUCGAUUAUAUAACCAACACAAUAGCACUUCUCAACCAUAAUCUCACAACAACUUUGUAAAUGCUAAAAUUGAUCAUGUGGGCAUAUGUUGGUUCAGGACUUCAAGUUGAGAUUCCAAUUGAAACUGCUAAAGCAACAAGGGAUUUUGACUCUGAUUUGAAAAUUGAAUUUUAUGAACCCUCACAGUUGUUUCUAAUUUUAUAAUCUGAGUUGUUGCAAUUGCAAUGCAAAAAGUUGACAGACAGAGUCGCCUUAACUCCAACCACGACCUAAAACCCCAGACCAUCCAUCCAACGGCAGAGCACCCCUGCCCCGCUGAACCAACGGUGCGAUGGGACACCGCGCCCCUUCCUUCCUCCAGUCCAGUAUAAAUUUAUCCAAGCCCUAGCGCUAAAACCCUUGCGGCCGCUACCUCCCUUUUCCCCACCCGCCCCCUCUCGUCUCCCCGGCCGCCGCAGGCGAAGCCCCUAUUCGCCUCGUCCUCUCCACCGCCGAAUCCCCCCAGGUUUGACGGAUUCCGGCAUCUCAGCAGCCAUGCUUUUCUCGGUCUGAUUUGGUUCGGUGGGCGUGCGUUGGAUGCAGGUUUCGGCUGAGAUAGUCGCAGGUUACUGAUUCUAGGAGGAUAUGUUGGUGCUAUUCGAGACCCCCGCGGGGUUCGCCCUCUUCAAGGUGCUCGACGAGGGGAAGCUCGACAAGGUCGAGGUGUGUGGUCGGUGCUUCAAAUUUCUAAUUCCGGUUUUAAUUGGGUUUGCUAAGUUUGCUCUGCUCCGCGCUUGGUUAUUGAACUAACAGUGUUCUGUCUUCUAUUUGUGCUUGUAGGAUCUAUGGAAGGAGUUCACGACAUCCGACUCGGCGAGAAGGGUUAGUGAUUCUGUUAUUAACAUUCAAAGGGCAAACGAGUUUUCCUUUUAUCAAGGCACAUUAUGACAUUGUGCCCUUGUCUUUUUAAAGUAUUGAUGUCAAUGUAACUCUUUUACCCUGGCGGAAUACUAGAUUUCGCCAUUACAAAUAUGGGUAGCUAGCUGAAUAUGUUCCACAAUGUGUUUUUUUGUAAGCUACUCCCUCUGUUCUUAAAUACAUGUCGUUCUGACUGGAGGAUUUUGCCUGGAGUUAGUUCAGUCAUUUUGUCGGAAUCGACAAGUUAUUGAGACUGGAGGGAGUAUUUUGAACAUAUCAACUUUAAGCCGCAAAGUGCCUAGAGAAUACUAUUUCCUCAAGGAACUACUAUUUCCUGCUGAUACAUGUUAUGUGCCUAUACUGGGUGAAGGUGGUAAUGAUGCAUAUCACCUCUAGAACAGACUCCCUAGAAGAUUGUUUUGUCUGUGCGUGUACCAACAUUAAACUGGUUUUGUUCAAAUGCAGAAUACUUAUUCAGCUUUUAUGGUAUUUAUGAUAUUGUCUCCCGUUAUAUUCUUUGUGUUUAUACAUCCAGUUUUCUUUUUCUGACUAGUAGUUAUGAACUUCUGUGUAGGUGGUUGAGCUUAAGGCUUUCAACAAGUUUGAGAACACAUCUGACGCUCUGUCUGCUGCGACCCUGAUUAUUGAUGGCAAGCCUAGCAAGGGUCUGCGCAAGUUCUUGCAGAAGCACUGUGAGGGUGAAACAUUAGCUGUUGCUGAUUCCAAGCUUGGAAAUGCUAUAAAGGAAAAGCUGGUCGGUGGUGUUCCUCGGUUUUUAAUUUGUUUGUAGAAUGACUGGCCCUCCUUACAGUAUUGUUGCGCUCAUGCAGAAAAUUGACUGCCUUCACAAUAGUGCUGUGAUGGAGCUGAUGAGAGGGCUGAGAAAUCAGCUCACUGAGCUUAUAACUGGGCUGGGUGCACAAGAACUUGGUCCGAUGAGCCUGGGACUGUCCCACAGCCUGUCUAGGUAUAAGCUGAAGUUCAGUCCUGAUAAGGUGAGUCCGAUAUGUGCUCACUUUCUGGCUUUUUUUAUUGCCCCAUCACUUGCUGCUUCACAUGAACAUGGAUACUGUAUCCGUGUGUUUUACUCUUUUGUUGCCCUUUGGUGCUAUAUCUUUGCACAUUCAGAACAUCUUUUGUGUUGGCUAGUUACGGUUGUUGUUUGUGAAUUACCCAUUUGGAAUCGUGUAAGUGAGAUGACCACCAUUGUUUUUGUUCCACAGGUUGAUACCAUGAUCAUUCAGGCCAUUGGCUUAUUGGAUGAUCUUGACAAAGAGCUUAACACUUAUGCUAUGAGGGUUCGUGAAUGGUAUGGUUGGCACUUUCCUGAGCUCACUAAAAUAGUCACAGAUAACAUACAGUAUGCAAAAGUUGUGAAGAUGAUGGGCGACAGAGCUAAUGCAGUCAACCUUGAUUUCUCUGAGGUAAAUGAGUGGACAUUUCUCAAUGUUAUUUACAUGCCUAUGAAGCAAACUGCUUAGUAAUAGCUCUGUUGUUCACAGAUACUGUCAGAUGAAGAGGUGGAAGCACAGAUAAAGGAGGCGGCAGUAAUAUCCAUGGGAACAGAAGUUAGCGACCUUGACUUGUUAAAUAUCAGAGAGCUAUGUGAUCAAGUGUUGGCUCUUUCUGAGUACAGAGCCCAGCUGUUUGACUAUUUAAAAAGCAGGAUGAACACUAUUGCUCCCAAUCUGACCGCACUGGUGGGUGAAUUAGUUGGUGCUCGCCUUAUUGCGCACGGUGGCAGUUUGGUAAAUUUAGCCAAGCAGCCUGGUAGCACAAUCCAGAUACUCGGUGCAGAGAAGGUGCGUACUAUUUGUGGAUGAUUUCGAAAACGGUUUUUCAUUCGUUGUUCUUUUUCUGUCUGUGAUCCUGCUCUUCUAAAUGUGCGUCGACAGCGUAUAUCAGUAAGACACACGAAAUUGUGCCCUCUUUUUUUGAUAUCCUAAUUCGUAGUGACAUCAAUCGGUGGCAUGAAUGAGAUUAUUUCUUUUUGUUGUCUGCUAGAAUUGGUUUCUCUACUAAGCAACUGAAAAUUGUAUUCUGUCCAGGCUUUAUUCAGAGCUCUAAAGACGAAGCAUGCUACACCUAAGUACGGCCUCAUCUACCAUGCAUCCUUAAUUGGCAAGGCAUCUCAAAAGCACAAGGGAAAGAUCUCUCGUUCUCUUGCUGCGAAAACUGCUCUUGCCAUACGGUGUGAUGCCCUUGGUGAUGGUGAGGACAACUCCAUUGGCACUGAGAGUCGACUCAAGGUAUCUGCACUGUCGAAAACAAUUUUAGUUUUUAUAAUACAAACAAUAGAUUGUCUUCUGACAUAAGUGAGAAUUGAACAGCUUGAGACACGGCUUCAAGUUCUGGAGAACAAAGAAUUUGGGAAAUCUGCUGGUUCCACAAAGGGAAAGCCUAAGAUAGAAGUGUAUGAAAAGGACCGGAAGAAGGGAGCUGGGGCUUUAAUUACUCCUGCUAAGGUAAGCUUUGUCAUGGUUCUGUUUCCUUGAAAAAUAUGAUAAGAAACCUUUUAUUUAACGGACAGUUGCUUACUCUUCACUGCCAUCUUGGUCAAUACAAUGGACUGUUCUAGUACUGGAUUGCUUUAUUGUUAGCGAAAAAGAUCCCAUUGGUGUAUCCUUACGUGAACACCUUUUUUGUUGCCAUUGUUUUUUUUUUUGGGGGGGGGGGGUGGUGUUUGAGUUCUAAAAGUCAUUUGACUGAUGUUUUGCUUUUGUUUUAGACAUACAACCCUGCCACUGAUGUCGUACUAGGACAAUCCACUGAAGAAACACCAAAGAAGUCAGAAUUGGCUUCAAAGAAGAGGAAACAUCAUGAGGCGGAGGCUGCACAGACAACAGAGCCUGCAGCGGAAGCAAUCCAGGAGGAUGGUGAUCAGGAGAGGAAGAAAAAGAAGAAGAAGAAGGACAAGGAAACCGAGGCGACUCCAGUGGCCGCUGCUGAUGGUGAGAAGAAAAAGAAAAGGAAGUCCAAGGAGAGCGAGGAGCCUGCUGUGGCUGCCGCCGAAGGCGAGAAGAAGAAGAAAAAGAAGAAAUCUGAUAUGGAUGGUGAGGAUGUUGUAAUGCAAAAUGAAGAUUCUGGUAAGAAAGACAAGAAGAAAAAGAAGAAGCACGCUGAUGAUGAGUGAGGCAUUCACUGGAGAAGGGAGAGCCAAGGUGCUCAAGGUUGG